CCUACGGGUGGCAGCAGUGGGGAAUAUUGGACAAUGGGGGGAACCCUGAUCGAGCCAUGCCGCGUGUGUGAAGAAGGCCCUCGGGUUGUAAAGCACUUUCAGUGAGGAAGAACGCCUGGUGGUUAAUACCCAUCAGGAAAGACAUCACUCACAGAAGAAGCACCGGCUAACUCCGUGCCAGCAGCCGCGGUAAUACGGAGGGUGCGAGCGUUAAUCGGAAUUACUGGGCGUAAAGCGCGCGUAGGUGGCUUGAUAAGCCGGUUGUGAAAGCCCCGGGCUCAACCUGGGAACGGCAUCCGGAACUGUCAAGCUAGAGUGCAGGAGAGGAAGGUAGAAUUCCCGGUGUAGCGGUGAAAUGCGUAGAGAUCGGGAGGAAUACCAGUGGCGAAGGCGGCCUUCUGGACUGACACUGACACUGAGGUGCGAAAGCGUGGGUAGCAAACAGGAUUAGAUACCCUUGUAGUC
This 465-nucleotide ribosomal RNA is filed under the name Vreelandella stevensii. RNAcentral's name for it is "partial 16S ribosomal RNA". It matches the Rfam family "Bacterial small subunit ribosomal RNA", at positions 338 to 795 of the family's 1533-position model. Lineage: Bacteria; Pseudomonadati; Pseudomonadota; Gammaproteobacteria; Oceanospirillales; Halomonadaceae. The record is from RNAcentral.